Molecule: long non-coding RNA, 2344 nt
Filed under: Phasianus colchicus (ring-necked pheasant)
Lineage: Eukaryota; Metazoa; Chordata; Aves; Galliformes; Phasianidae
Description: lncRNA (ENSPCLG00000016928.1)
Source: RNAcentral
UAUGGGAUUUUGAAGUCUGUGGGAUUUUGGGGCAUUUUAUGGGAUUUUGGGGCCAUUCUGUGGGAUUUUGAAGUCAGCCCAUAGGAUUUCGGGGCCAUUCUGUGGGAUUUCGGGGCCUUUUUAUGGGAUUUGGGGUCAUUCUAUGGGAUUUUGAAGUCAGCCCGUAGGAUUUUGGGGCCAUUUUAUGGGAUUUUGGGGCCAUUCUGUGGGAUUUUGAAGUCAAUCCAUGGGGUUUUGGGGCCAUUUUGUGGGAUUUUGGGGUCGUUCUGUGAGAUUUGGGGUCCAUUCUAUGGGAUUUGGGGCCUUUCUAUGGGAUUUUGAAGUCGAUCCAUGGGGUUUUGGGUCCGUUCUGUGGGAUUUUGGGUCCAUUUUGUGGGAUUUUGAAAUCCAUAGGAUUUUGGGGCCAUUCUGUGGGAUUUUGGGGCCCAUUCUGUGGGAUUUUGGGGUCAUUCUAUGGGGUUUGGAGUCCAUUCUAUGGGACUUUGGGUUCCUUUUUUGCACUUUUGGGGCCAUUUCCGUGGGAUUCUGGGGCCAUUUCUGUGGGAUUUUGAGGACAAUCCAUAGGAUUUUGGGUCCAUUCUAUGGGAUUUCGGAUCCCUUCUAUGAAUUUUAGGGUCCAUUCUGUGGGAUUUUUGGGUCCAUUUUGGGGGAUUUUGGAGUCAAUCCAUGGGAUUUGGGGUCCAUUCCUUGGGAUUUUGAGGGCAAUCAUUGGGGUUUUGGGUCCGUUCUGUGGGAUUUGGGGCCAUUCUGUGGGAUUUUGACUCAUUUUUAUGCAUUUUUGGGACAUUCUGCAUCCAUUCUGGGGGAUUUUGGGGUCAAUCCAUGGGAUUUUGGGUUCGUUGUAUGGGAUUUUGGAGUCAAUCCAUGGGAUUUUGGGUCUGUUCUUUGGGAUUGGGAUUUUGGGGUCAAUCCAUGGAAAUUGGAUUUCGUUGUAUGGGAUUUUUGAGUCAGUCCAUGGGAUUUUGGGUCUAUUUCAUGGGAUUGGGAUUUUGGGUGCAUUUCUUUGGGAUUUUGGAGUCAAUCCAUGGGAUUUUGGAUUUGUUGAAUGGGAUUUUGGAGUCAAUCCAUGGGAUUUUGGAGUCAAACCAUGGGAUUUGGGGUCUAUUCUUUGGGAUUGCGAGUUUGGGUCCUUUCUUUGGGAUUUUGGGUCCAUUCUGUGGGAUUUUGGGGUUCGUUGUAUGGGAUUUUGGAGUCAAUCCAUGGGAUUUGGGGUCCGUUCACUUGGGAUUUUGGGUCCAUUUCUUUGGGAUUUUGGGGUCAAUCUAUGGGAUUUGGGGUCCGUUCACUUGGGAUUUUGUGUCCAUUUCUUGGGAUUUUGGCCUUGUAUGGGAUUUUGGGUCCAUUCUGUGGGAUUUUGGAGUCAAUCCUUGGGAUUCUGGCCUCAUUGGGAUUUUGGAGUCAAUCAUGGGAUUUUGGGUUCGUUGUAUGGGAUUUUGCAGUCAAUCAUGGGAUUCUGGCCUCAUUGAUUGGGAUUUUGGAGUCAGUCCAUGGGAUUUUGGGUCCGUUCCUUGGGAUUUUGGGUCCAUUUCUUUGGGAUUUUGGGGUCAAUCUAUGGGAUUUUGGGUCCGUUCACUUGGGAUUUUGGCUCCAUUUCUUUGGGAUUUUGGCCUCAUCGUAUGGGAUUUUGGCCUCAUCGUAUGGGAUUUUGGCCUCAUCGUAUGGAUUUUGGCCUCAUCGUAUGGGAUUUUGGCCUCAUCGUAUGGGAUUUUGGCCUCAUCGUAUGGGAUUUUGGCUCCAUUCCUUGGGAUUUUGGAGUCAAUCCACGGGAGCUCGGGUCUAUUCCUUGGGAUUGGGACUUUGGCCCCACUCUCCAUGAUUUCCCCACAUUUCCCCCCCAUUCCACCCCAUUUCCUCACCUCCCCCCUGCUGUAGCCCCCAGCGUUUCCCAUUUUCAGCCCUUUUAACCCAUUUCUUCCCCCUUUCCCACCCCAGUUCUACCUGAGGGAGGCCGACGUGGGGCAGAACCGAGCCGAGGCGACGCUGCCCAGGCUGGCGGAGCUCAACGCCUACGUGGGGGUCAGCAGCAGCACGGAGCCCCUGAGCGAGGAGCUCCUGCAGCCCUUCCAGGUACCUGAACGGCCCCAUAGAAACCCCAUAACGGCCCCAUAGGGACCCCAUAGUGUGAGCCACAGUGUGACCCCAUAACUGCCCCAUAGAGACCCUAUAAAGACCCCAUAGAGACCCCAUAGCAGCACGGAGCCCCCGAGCGAGGAGCUCCUGCAGCCCUUCCAGGUACCAUAGAGACCCCAUAGAAACCCCAUAACGGCCCCAUAGGGACCCCAUAGUGUCACCCCACAGUGUGACCCCAUAACUGCCCCAUAGAGACCCUAUAGAGACCCCAUAG